This 68-nucleotide transfer RNA is filed under the name Azumapecten farreri. RNAcentral's name for it is "tRNA-Thr". It matches the Rfam family "tRNA". Rfam says of the family: Transfer RNA (tRNA) molecules are approximately 80 nucleotides in length. Their secondary structure includes four short double-helical elements and three loops (D, anti-codon, and T loops). Lineage: Eukaryota; Metazoa; Mollusca; Bivalvia; Pectinida; Pectinidae. The record is from RNAcentral.
CCGCCCUUAGCUUAAGAAGAGCAAUGGUCUUGUAAAUCAUAGGUGCAGGCUUAGUUCUGUGGGGUGGU